Molecule: ribosomal RNA, 845 nt
Filed under: uncultured bacterium
Lineage: Bacteria
Description: bacterial SSU rRNA
Rfam family: Bacterial small subunit ribosomal RNA
Source: RNAcentral
GACGAACGCUGGCGGCGUGCCUAAUACAUGCAAGUCGCGCGGAUGGACUUGUCCAUCAGCGGCGGACGGGUGAGUAACACGUGGGUAACCUGCCUUGCAGACCGGUAUAACGCCUGGAAACGGGUGCUAAUCCCGGAUAGGAUCCUUGGCCGCAUGGCCGAGGAAGGAAAGGCGCUAUGGCGUCACUGCAAGAGGGGCCCGCGGCGCAUUAGCCAGUUGGUGGGGUAAUGGCCUACCAAAGCGACGAUGCGUAGCCGACCUGAGAGGGUGACCGGCCACACUGGGACUGAGACACGGCCCAGACUCCUACGGGAGGCAGCAGUAGGGAAUCUUCCGCAAUGGGCGCAAGCCUGACGGAGCAACGCCGCGUGAGUGAAGACGGUCUUCGGAUUGUAAAGCUCUGUCAACCGGGGAGAGCGAAGAGGAGAGGGAAUGCUCCUUUAGAGACGGUACCGGUGGAGGAAGCCCCGGCUAACUACGUGUCAGCAGCCGCGGUAAUACGUAGGGGGCAAGCGUUGUCCGGAAUGACUGGGCGUAAAGCGCGCGCAGGCGGUGCAUCACGUCUGAGGUGAAAGGUCGGGGCUCAACUUCGACAUGGCCUUGGAAACGGGAGCACUUGAGGGUCGGAGAGGUCAGGGGAAUUCCACGUGUAGCGGUGAAAUGCGUAGAGAUGUGGAGGAAUACCAGUGGCGAAAGGCGCCUGACUGGACGAAACCUGACGCUGAGGCGCGAAGCGUGGGGAGCAACAGGAUUAGAUACCCUGGUAGUCCACGCGGUAACGAUGAGUGCUAGGUGUCGGAGGGUACCACCUCCGGUGCCGAAGGAACCCACUAAGCACUCCGCCU